RNAcentral lists this ribosomal RNA (872 nucleotides) under Flavoparmelia caperata. RNAcentral's name for it is "SSU rRNA". It matches the Rfam family "Bacterial small subunit ribosomal RNA", at positions 356 to 1169 of the family's 1533-position model. The record is from RNAcentral. Lineage: Eukaryota; Fungi; Ascomycota; Lecanoromycetes; Lecanorales; Parmeliaceae.
GAGGAAUGUAUAGCAAUAGCUACUUGCAUCAUAGUUAAUAUGAUGCAAGCUCGACUAAGUUGAAUAAAAUUCUAGGUAGAAUUAUGAUAAUGACAUUGUCUGCCUAUGUGUCUUGACCAAAUUACGUGCCAGCAGUCGCGGGAAUACGUAGAAGACUAGUGUUAUUCAUGUUUAAUCGGUUUAAAGGGUACCUAGACGGUGAAUCAAGCUUUGGUGUAAAUAAUAAAAACCAUAUUGUAUAAGACCUAUAUUUGAGAUACAUAUUUACAUAUGAUAAGGACUAAUUUACUAGAGUUACUUACGAGGGGGUAUUAAAGUACUGCUGGUGUAGAGAUGAAAUUCUGUCAUACCUCUUUUCGAAAGAAAAAUCAUGGCACAGGUAUAGGCGAAGGCAUCCCCUUAUGGGCUAACUGACGUUGAGGGACGAAGGCUUCAUGUAACAAACAGGAUUAGAUACCCUAGUAGUUGAAAGCAGAAAAUGAUGAAUGUCAUAGAUUAGAUAUAUAAGUUUAUUCUAUAAAUGAAAGUGUAAGCAUUCCACCUCAUGAGUAAUUUGGCAACAUUGGAAUUGAAAUCAUUAGACCGUUUCUGAAACCAGUAGUGAAGUAUGUUGUUUAAUUUGAUACUCCGCAAAAAACCUUACCACAAUUUGAAUAUUUAUAUCUUUUAUUGUUUUCAUCUUAAUUUUAUUAUGAUUUUAUUUUUCUUUUUAAAAAAAGAAAAAAUUAAGAAUAAGGCAAUAAGAUACAUUUACAAGCGUUGCACGGCUGUCUUCAGUUAAUGUCGUGAGACUUUGGUUAGUUCCAUUAAAUUAACGUAAACCCUUACUUUAUUUUUUAUAUAGAGUAGUUCCCCACUAUAUUGGAUAUGAU